GACGAACGCUGGCGGCGUGCUUAACACAUGCAAGUCGAACGGAAAGGCCCUGCUUGCAGGGUGCUCGAGUGGCGAACGGGUGAGUAACACGUGGGUGAUCUGCCCCUUACUUUGGGAUAAGCCUGGGAAACUGGGUCUAAUACUGGAUAGGACCAUGCUGUAGGUGGUGUGGUGGAAAGAUUAGUUUCGGUAAGGGAUGAGCUCGCGGCCUAUCAGCUUGUUGGUGGGGUAAUGGCCUACCAAGGCGUCGACGGGUAGCCGGCCUGAGAGGGUGGACGGCCACAUUGGGACUGAGAUACGGCCCGGACUCCUACGGGAGGCAGCAGUGGGGAAUAUUGCACAAUGGGCGCAAGCCUGAUGCAGCGACGCCGCGUGGGGGAUGACGGCCUUCGGGUUGUAAACUCCUUUCAGCCAUGACGAAGCCCUUGUGGUGACGGUAGUGGUAGAAGAAGCACCGGCUAACUACGUG
Molecule: ribosomal RNA, 469 nt
Filed under: uncultured bacterium
Lineage: Bacteria
Description: partial 16S ribosomal RNA
Rfam family: Bacterial small subunit ribosomal RNA
Source: RNAcentral